GACGAACGCUGGCGGCGUGCUUAACACAUGCAAGUCGAACGGAAAGGCCCUGCUUUUGUGGGGUGCUCGAGUGGCGAACGGGUGAGUAACACGUGAGUAACCUGCCCUUGACUUUGGGAUAACUUCAGGAAACUGGGGCUAAUACCGGAUAGGAGCUCCUGCUGCAUGGUGGGGGUUGGAAAGUUUCGGCGGUUGGGGAUGGACUCGCGGCUUAUCAGCUUGUUGGUGGGGUAGUGGCUUACCAAGGCUUUGACGGGUAGCCGGCCUGAGAGGGUGACCGGCCACAUUGGGACUGAGAUACGGCCGAGACGCCUACGGGGGGCAGCAGUGGGGAAUAUUGCACAAUGGGCGGAAGCCUGAUGCAGCAACGCCGCGUGCGGGAUGACGGCCUUCGGGUUGUAAACCGCUUUCGCCUGUGACGAAGCGUGAGUGACGGUAAUGGGUAAAGAAGCACCGGCUAACUACGUG
RNAcentral lists this ribosomal RNA (468 nucleotides) under uncultured bacterium. RNAcentral's name for it is "partial 16S ribosomal RNA". It matches the Rfam family "Bacterial small subunit ribosomal RNA", at positions 28 to 507 of the family's 1533-position model. The record is from RNAcentral.